UACGAACUGCACAAACGUUAUUCGGAAUUACUGGGCUUAAAGAGUCCGUAGGCGGCUCGGAGGGUGAGGUGUGAAAUCCCACAGCUCAACUGUGGAAUUGCGCUUCAAACCGCCGAGCUUGAGGAAGACAGGGGUGAGCGGAACAGAUGGUGGAGCGGUGAAAUGCGUUGAUAUCAUUUGGAACACCGGUGGCGAAGGCGGCAUCCUGGACCAAUACUGACGCUGAGGAGCGAAAGCCAGGGGAGCAAACGGG
Molecule: ribosomal RNA, 253 nt
Filed under: uncultured bacterium
Lineage: Bacteria
Description: partial 16S ribosomal RNA
Rfam family: Bacterial small subunit ribosomal RNA
Source: RNAcentral